Molecule: small RNA, 1383 nt
Filed under: Histoplasma capsulatum
Lineage: Eukaryota; Fungi; Ascomycota; Eurotiomycetes; Onygenales; Ajellomycetaceae
Also listed under: 1 other name
Description: hypothetical RNA
Source: RNAcentral
CUUUCUCUCACCUUCCCCGGACCUAGAAUUUCGCCGUCAUGUCAUAGGUGCAUCUUGCUUUCUCCACCGUUUGUCGUUCUGAUUGUAGCUUGCGUGCGUGCGUGCUUGCUUUCUUUUUUUUUUUUUUGGCUUUUUUUUUAUCAUGAUCUUUCCCUCUUCGCUCCGUUCCCCUGUCUCUCUGCUCGUUGAUGAUUACUCACUCUUCCCUCAGACACUUCUGUUGAAAAAGUGGUGAAUUGGAAUCAAAUAUCAAACAUCGUCUUCCUCCUCACAAUCUCCUCUCGUCGCCUCUUUCUCUGUACAACACAACAAUUCUCUCGUUUCCUGUGACCUUUCUUCCUACCUAUCCACUUUCUCCGUUUGUGUGUUUUUCUUGAUAAACAUAUACACUCUUAUUCCCUUUGACUACCUUAGGCCUACCGAAAUUCGAAAAAAGUGUCAGUCCCUUAUUUUUGCUGGUGAUCCUGUUGAUUUUUUCAUCCUACAUUCUUUUUUUUCCAAGAGUUGAGUAAAUUCCCGUGUGAGAAGAAGAAGAAGAAGAAGAGUAAGAAACGAAGGAAGAAAGCCCCACUUGUGUGAGACCUCCAUCUCACGCAGUUCGACGAUCGAUCCUGAGUUGAUCGGACCGAUAUCGAUCCAGCUGUACCAACAUUGAUACAAUCCCCAUAGGAGAUAGAACAGCGAACAAAAAGGGGAACAGAAAAGCAAAGAAGGAAAAUAAGGGCAAAACAAUUAACCAGAAAGGGAAUGCAACAUCGAGGGGAGAAGGAUAAUUUCCCACAAGAAAAAGUGUGUAUAUGUUGUAUAUUGUGUGCGCGCAUGUAUAUACUCUUGAAGUUGACUUGGAGACACGCGAUACAGCAGCGGCCUUGCGUCUAGAGCUGUGGGCCACUGUCAAGGCGAGCAGCGCUUUUGGGGUUGAAUUGAUUGACCUGAUCCUGAGAUAGCUUGGGACACUCGACCCGACGUCCUUGACAAGCAGCAGACACUGCGUACAUCCUUCCGUGCCUAUUUUCUAGAGUUAUCGAAACCAGCAUACCUGUCUGUGCCACCGUCACACCCACAUAACCACAUACCCAUUAUACAAUGGGCUUCAAGAACGGUCUGAGCGAGCGUCUCGAAGAGCUCCGCUUCUCCUCCCCUCGCUCCCCGCCCUCCGACUCGCCUUUCUCCAGCUACCCCUCGCCCACCAGAGUUCAGACCGCUAGCUAUAUCUCCACCUUCCAACCACCUUCCGAUGUGCGUGCAAACCUCCAACGUCGCUUCACCACCGACGCCAGCAAACUUUCCUCAUGGCCCGCCUUCAACAGUGCUCAGCCGCUGCCUUUACCGGAGUCUCUGGACUUCCUUUCCUCGGCAACGCAGAUUCACAAGUCGCAGUUG